UUGACCUCGGAUCAGGUGGGGAUACCCGCUGA
Molecule: ribosomal RNA, 32 nt
Filed under: Leptoxyphium madagascariense
Lineage: Eukaryota; Fungi; Ascomycota; Dothideomycetes; Capnodiales; Capnodiaceae
Description: partial 28S ribosomal RNA
Source: RNAcentral